GACGAACGCUGGCGGCGUGCUUAACACAUGCAAGUCGAACGGAAAGGCCCUUCGGGGUACUCGAGUGGCGAACGGGUGAGUAACACGUGGGUGAUCUGCCCUGCACUUUGGGAUAAGCCUGGGACACUGGGUCUAAUACCUAAUAUGAUCAUCUGCUUCAUGGUCGGUGGUGGAAAGCUUUUGCGGUGUGGGAUGGGCCCGCGGCCUAUCAGCUUGUUGGUGGGGUAAUGGCCUACCAAGGCGACGACGGGUAGCCGGCCUGAGAGGGUGACCGGCCACACUGGGACUGAGAUACGGCCCAGACUCCUACGGGAGGGAGCAGUGGGGAAUAUUGCACAAUGGGCGCAAGCCUGAUGCAGCGACGCCGCGUGAGGGAUGACGGCCUUCGGGUUGUAAACCUCUUUCAGCACAGACGAAGCGCAAGUGACGGUAUGGGGAGAAGAAGGACCGGCCAACUACGUG
RNAcentral lists this ribosomal RNA (462 nucleotides) under uncultured bacterium. RNAcentral's name for it is "partial 16S ribosomal RNA". It matches the Rfam family "Bacterial small subunit ribosomal RNA", at positions 28 to 507 of the family's 1533-position model. The record is from RNAcentral.